Molecule: long non-coding RNA, 714 nt
Organism: Drosophila subobscura
Lineage: Eukaryota; Metazoa; Arthropoda; Insecta; Diptera; Drosophilidae
Exons: 4
Source: RefSeq, a predicted model, not a curated record
CUCAUCGAGGCUCUGGGUGGGCAGAUCCCUGCCCUGCGGCAGACCGGAACGUACUCCCGCCGUGCACAGCAACAGGAUGAUGCUCCAUGAUGAUAAUUCCAGGACUGGCAGCGACAUGGCGUUCGCGGUUUCUCUCAACAUUCAAUUACCUUAAGUAGUUCAGAACGCCACAGGGAGGCCCACUGAGCUGCAGCGUAUCUUACGGUCGCUAAAGCUGCACCGGACAGAAUAUUACGGCGGACCCGACCAGACCCGAGCCGGCAAGAAACCGAAAGUCUCAGCGUGAUGCAAUUAUCCGUGUUUGAACGCGGAACCCAUCACUGGAGGCAUCUGGAAGCAGCAGCCAGAAUGGAAGUGCCAGCUGAUGCAUUCGGAGAGAAGGUUCUCGUCGGGGAUUGUUGCCUCUCAUUUACUGACAAUUAAAGGCAACUAAAACACUUUUCUCCUACGAAGACCCAACCAUUCGGCGACUUGGGGAAUCUCUUUUGCUCGAUUGACAAUUUUUACGAAUUUAUUCAGCAGAAAUCAUUGGCCAGCAAGGCCAGGCCAUGUGUCUCUAUUAUGUAUAUCGGCCAACAUUCAUGAACAUCUCACCCAGGAGAGGGGGCAUCGAGGACGAUGGACACAGGACACCUGCAUCCCCGCUGAUCUGAAGUACACAUCGAACUACCCUUAAAAAAUAUAACUAAAAAUGUAUGUGUAAAAAUGCAAGUU